UCCAGGAUCACGGGGAACCUGGUGUUGAAGGACAAAAAGGCCCGGUUUGUCAUCACCCAAUCCCCUCUGGAGCAUCAGCUGUAUGUGAGACGGGCUCUGCUGCUGUGUGUGGGACGACUGAGUGAUACAGGGCUACAGGAGCUACGCUCGGAUACACUACGACACAGUACUGUGUCACACGAUCAGAGCUGUUCACAUUACUUUCUGACCUGUCCACCUCCGGGUUGUGUUCAUUUGAGAAAUGAACAACAACAAAAAUCCUUAACAUUUUGUUAUGGGGAAGUGUCCAUGAAGUUCCGUUUUGUUGAAGACUAUUUUCUCCUGUUUGGUGCUUCAUGAUCACGACCCUUCUAUCCUUUCCUCUGUCAGAACUGCUACAGUUCAUGCUGGGAGAGAUGCAGAGCCACCUGGAUAGCAGCGUAGUGCGUGUGAGGGGCAUGGCGGUGGGGGAGUGUCUCCACUCCUGCAUGGACCUCAAUGGAGCCAAGCUGAAAUUCGAGGAUGAGGAGACAAAAGGAGCUGCUCUCAAUGAUGAUCACUGGCUGAUGAAGAAACGGAGCCGCUUGAUGACAGAUUGGGCAGACUGUAACCGCUCAGGUUGUACCAUCCCAGGCUGCUUCACUGGCCCAAAGAUCAGGAGCUGACCAAGAUUCAGAGCUGGAUAGUGAUGAUUCGCUCACCCCUACUGACCAGGAGAUGAGCCAAGCCACCCCACCUCGCUACCUCCGAGACCUCUUGAUGCCUUUAUCUCCUCCGAGGACCCAGUGAGGCUGGAGCUCAAUCAGAGAGCUGUUGAGGGACUGGUUAGGAAGAACACUUCUACAGACAGGGCAGUCAAGAAAUGGAAUGGCAAGGCCACAGAAUAUGACAUACGCAGACCACCUCGUGCAUGCUCCUAGUAGAGCGGGGUGUGGAGUUUACCCAGUGGUGUAAAGUACUUAAGUAAGUACUACUUAAGCAAUUUUUUGCAGUAUCUGUACUUUA
Molecule: long non-coding RNA, 984 nt
Organism: Oncorhynchus nerka (sockeye salmon)
Lineage: Eukaryota; Metazoa; Chordata; Actinopteri; Salmoniformes; Salmonidae
Exons: 5
Source: RefSeq, a predicted model, not a curated record